Molecule: ribosomal RNA, 803 nt
Filed under: uncultured bacterium
Lineage: Bacteria
Description: bacterial SSU rRNA
Rfam family: Bacterial small subunit ribosomal RNA
Source: RNAcentral
AGAGUUUGAUCCUGGCUCAGGAUGAACGCUAGCGGCAGGCUUAACACAUGCAAGUCGAGGGGCAGCAUGUCCAGCAAUGGAUGAUGGCGACCGGCGGAAGGGUGCGUAACGCGUGAGCAACAUGCCCUAUACAGGGAGAUACACCAGGGAAACUUGGUCUAAUAUCCCAUAGCAUUCAUUGAAGGCAUCUUUAAUGAAUUAAAGCUUCGGUGGUAUAGGAUUGGCUCGCGUGACAUUAGCCAGAUGGUGAGGUAACGGCUCACCAUAGCAAUGAUGUCUAGGGGUUUUGAGAGGAAGGCCCCCCACACUGGGACUGAGACACGGCCCAGACUCCUACGGGAGGCAGCAGUGAGGAAUAUUGGACAAUGGAUGGAAAUCUGAUCCAGCCAUGCCGCGUGCAGGAAGACGGCCUUAUGGGUUGUAAACUGCUUUUAUACGGGAGCAAUAAGGGUUACGAGUAAUCCGAUGAGAGUACUGUAUGAAUAAGGAUCGGCUAACUCCGUGCCAGCAGCCGCGGUAAUACGGAGGAUCCGAGCGUUAUCCGGAAUUAUUGGGUUUAAAGGGUGCGUAGGCGGCCAUUUAAGUCAGCGGUGAAAUUUUGCAGCUUAACUGUAACAGUGCCGUUGAUACUGUUUGGCUAGGAUUUGGUUGUAGUGUGCGGAAUGUGUGGUGUAGCGGUGAAAUGCUUAGAUAUCACACAGAACACCGAUUUGCGAAGGCAGCACACUAAGUCAUUAUUGACGCUGAGGCACGAAAGUGGUGGGGAUCAAACAGGAAUUAGAAUACCCUGGUAGUCCACACUG